RNAcentral lists this long non-coding RNA (498 nucleotides) under Gallus gallus (chicken). RNAcentral's name for it is "lncRNA (ENSGALG00010019721.1)". Lineage: Eukaryota; Metazoa; Chordata; Aves; Galliformes; Phasianidae. The record is from RNAcentral.
AGCGCUGCCACUGCGGAGCCGGGCGGGACCGACCCCCGGUUCCCCCCCUCCCUGCGCAAAAUGGCUUGUUUUCCAAUAGAAAUAAAAGCAAAGAGCUAAUUCUGCAAUCCCGAGGUAGGCAGCGCUCGCGCUGAAAUCAAGGGGAGGCUUGUCUUGGCGCACAGAUUGCAGUUAGGUGUCUGUGCAGCAACAGGAGGCCAUCGAUUUGGGACAGCGCUCGGAGGCACGGGCAGUCGCAGCCCUUGGUGCUACGGAGAGCAAGGCGUGCUGCCGGCAGAAGUGCAGAGGCAAACAUCUGUCUGCGGUGGGGACCCUGGGGCUGGUGGCCUGCAGAAUGCUGGGGAAUAAGGGCUGCUUCCCCGCCAUCGCUGACCCGGGGGAUUCUUACCAGAGGGAGGACAGAAUUGUUGGUGAUCGUGGUAAAAUGCGAACAAAUCUAUGAUACGGGGCAGAGAGUGUGUGCGGGGGAGAGGGAGCAUGCACAAGCGUGAGGCAGAG